RNAcentral lists this ribosomal RNA (576 nucleotides) under Filobasidium chernovii. RNAcentral's name for it is "partial large subunit ribosomal RNA". It matches the Rfam family "Eukaryotic large subunit ribosomal RNA", at positions 52 to 621 of the family's 3401-position model. Lineage: Eukaryota; Fungi; Basidiomycota; Tremellomycetes; Filobasidiales; Filobasidiaceae. The record is from RNAcentral.
GGAGGAAAAGAAACUAACAAGGAUUCCCCUAGUAACGGCGAGUGAAGCGGGAAGAGCUCAAAUUUGAAAUCUGGUGGCCUCAGGUCAUCCGAGUUGUAAUCUAUAGAAGUGUUUUCCGUGCUGGCUCAUGUACAAGUCCCUUGGAACAGGGCGUCAUAGAGGGUGAGAAUCCCGUCCUUGACAUGAACUACCAGUGCUCUGUGAUACAUUUUCAACGAGUCGAGUUGUUUGGGAAUGCAGCUCAAAAUGGGUGGUAAAUUCCAUCUAAAGCUAAAUAUUGGCGAGAGACCGAUAGCGAACAAGUACCGUGAGGGAAAGAUGAAAAGCACUUUGGAAAGAGAGUUAAACAGUAUGUGAAAUUGUUAAAAGGGAAACGAUUGAAGUCAGUCGUGCUCUUUGGAUUCAGCCGGUUCUGCCGGUGUACUUCCUUUGAGUGGGGUCAACAUCAGUUUUGAUCGCUGGAUAAAGGCUGGAGGAACGUAGCACCCUCGGGUGAACUUAUAGCCUCCUGUCACAUACAGUGGUUGGGACUGAGGAACGCAGCACGCCUUUAUGGCCGGGAUUCGUCCACGUACG